CCAGAGAACUUAGCAGAGAUGUCUUUGGUGCCGUUCGGGAACUCUGAGACAGGUGCUGCAUGGCUGUCGUCAGCUCGUGUUGUGAAAUGUUGGGUUAAGCCCGCAACGAGCGCAACCCCUAUCCUUUGUUGCCAGCGAUUCGGUCGGGAACUCAAAGGAGACUGCCGGUGAUAAACCGGAGGAAGGUGGGGAUGACGUCAAGUCAUCAUGGCCCUUACGAGUAGGGCUACACACGUGCUACAAUGGCGCAUACAAAGAGAAGCGACCUCGCGAGAGCAAGCGGACCUCAUAAAGUGCGUCGUAGUCCGGAUUGGAGUCUGCAACUCGACUCCAUGAAGUCGGAAUCGCUAGUAAUCGUAGAUCAGAAUGCUACGGUGAAUACGUUCCCGGGCCUUGUACACACCGCCCGUCACACCAUGGGAGUGGGUUGCAAAAGAAGUAGAUAGCUUAACCUUCGGGAGGGCGUUUACCACUUUGUGAUUCAUGACUGGGGUGAAGUCGUAACAAGGUAGGCGUAGCGAG
This 522-nucleotide ribosomal RNA is filed under the name uncultured bacterium. RNAcentral's name for it is "bacterial SSU rRNA". It matches the Rfam family "Bacterial small subunit ribosomal RNA", at positions 988 to 1509 of the family's 1533-position model. The record is from RNAcentral.